Long non-coding RNA from Hibiscus syriacus, 460 nucleotides. RefSeq lists it as uncharacterized. Lineage: Eukaryota; Viridiplantae; Streptophyta; Magnoliopsida; Malvales; Malvaceae. The record is from RefSeq and is a predicted model, not a curated record. The transcript has 3 exons.
UUGAGAUUGGGUACCAGGGAGGGAAAGCUCGCAUAGGAAGGAUAAGGUCGAAGCAAAAUCAAAAUGGCGAAAUCGAGUGCUGAUGAUGAGGAGCUAAGGCGAGCUUGCGAAGCUGCUGCAAUCGUAGGCUCAAAGGAGAAGAUCGUGAUAUCGAUUCGCGUCGCUGAAAGCCGCUGGAAAUAGGGCAACUCUGGGAAAUUCGCCCACCACAUGGCUAAAACCGAGAAUCCUUGAUCUCUGCUGCACGUCUUUUCCAUAAUCUGACAAAGAAGGUGCAGGUUCUCUGGUUCUUAUGCGAGAACUAUGGUUUGUGCAGUGAUAUCAAAAGGUCAUAAAACUGAAGCUUUUCUACGAGUAUUGAAGUAUUCUAGUGGGGGAGUUAUUGAGCCUUCUAAAUUGUACAAGCUGAAGCAUCUUUCAAGGGUGGAGGUUAUAACUAAUGAUCCCUACUUUUACAUUG